AACUUUGCCAUCUUUCGAGCUGCACUGAUGGAAUACUGAUUUUCCAGCCUUGGAUCCAUGAGCAUACCGAAUUUCUUGCCAUCAGCAGGGUAACGUUUAAUCCAAUCCAGAAGUUUAUGUUCUGAUUUUGGUCUGUUCCUUUCUAGGGACCGUCGACCGGUUAGGAUCUCAUAUAAUACAACACCAAAACUCCACACAUCACUCUUAGCUGUGAGAUGUCCUGUUUCUAUGUAAUCAGGUGCUGCAUACCCCCAUGUCCCCACAACCGCUGUGGAAACAUGUGUGUGCAUGCCAGUUGGACCCUCUCUCGCGAGCCCAAAGUCUGAAAGCUUUGGCUUGAAGUCAUCAUCUAAUAGCACAUUUGAUGACUUGAAAUCACGAUAUAUCACCUGAACUUCCAAUUCUUCAUGCAA
Molecule: unclassified non-coding RNA, 413 nt
Filed under: Hevea brasiliensis (rubber tree)
Lineage: Eukaryota; Viridiplantae; Streptophyta; Magnoliopsida; Malpighiales; Euphorbiaceae
Source: RNAcentral